UACGAGGGGUCCAAGCGUUAAUCGGAAUUACUGGGCGUAAAGCGUACGCAGGCGGUUUGUUAAGCGAGAUGUGAAAGCCCCGGGCUCAACCUGGGAAUUGCAUUUCGAACUGGCAAACUAGAGUCUUGUAGAGGGGGGUAGAAUUUCAGGUGUAGCGGUGAAAUGCGUAGAGAUCUGAAGGAAUACCGGUGGCGAAGGCGGCCCCCUGGACAAAGACUGACGCUCAGGUACGAAAGCGUGGGGAGCAAACAGG
This 253-nucleotide ribosomal RNA is filed under the name uncultured bacterium. RNAcentral describes it as "partial 16S ribosomal RNA". It matches the Rfam family "Bacterial small subunit ribosomal RNA", at positions 524 to 776 of the family's 1533-position model. The record is from RNAcentral.